UCCAACAUGAACCUGCUCUGUACUAAUUCUGCUCUAAAGUAAAUAUGUAAGACAAGAUUCUAUCAUACACACAUAAACAGUUACAUAUACAUAUAUAUACACAGCAAUGAUUAUAUAUGUCUACAUGUGCUUUCAGAAUGAACAAAUGUAUGAAAAGUUAUUAGCAUAGUGCCUAACCAUAGUAGGUGCUAUAUAAAUACUAGUUAUUAUUUUAAUGGUUUAAUUAUGAUGAUGAUGAUUAUGAUUAUUAUUAGUGCCUCUGCCUCAAGUCAUUCCUCCCUAAUCCAGCCUCCAUAAAUUUACCAAAAUGAUGUUCCUAAAACAGGUCUGACCAUGUCACACUACCCUACUCAGUAAACUCCAGUGGCUCCCUCUUACCCUUAAGAUUAGUCAGUAAACAUUUACUAAGUACCUACUUUGUGUCAAACUGAACAAGGCUCUGGAGAUACAAUCUCCUCCCUCAAAAAAUGUACUCUGGUUCCAUUCUACCUUCGAAAUAACUAUCUUGCUGUUCUUCAAACACCCAGAAAAAUACAAAUAACAUGUCCAAACAUUGAAAAUGGCUACAUGGGGCUUAUACCCCAAAGAGAUAUUAAAGAAGGGAAAGGGACCUGUAUGUGCCAAAAUGUUUGUGGCAGCCCUGUUUGUAGUGGCCAGAAAGUGGAAAAUGAAUGGAUGCCUAUCAAUUGGAGAAUGGUUGGGUAAAUUGUUGUAUAUGAAUGUUAUGAAAUAUUAUUGUUCUGUAAGAAAUGACCAGCAGGAUGAAUACAGAGAGGCUUGGAGAGAAUUACAUGAACUGAUGCUAAGUGAAAUGAGCAGAACCAGGAGACACAUCAACACAGCAGCAACAAUACUGUAUGAGGAUGUAUUCUGAUGGAAGUGGAUUUCUUUGACAAAGAGACCUAACUCAGUUUCAAUUAAUCAAUGAUGGACAGAAGCAGCCACACCCAAAGAAAGGACACUCGGAAAUGAAUGUAAACUGUUUGCAUUUUUGUUUUCCUUUUUGGGUUAUUUCUACCUUCUGAAUCCAAUUCUCCCUGUGCAACAAGGGAACAGUUUGGUUCUGCACACAUAUAUUGUAUCUAGAAUACACUGCAACAUAUUUAACAUAUGUAGGAUUGUUUGCCAUCUAGGGGAGGGGGUAGAGGGAAAGAGGGGAAAAAUUGGAACAGAAGUGAGUGCAACGGAUAAUGUUGUAAAAAGUUACCCUGGCAUGGGUUCUGUCAAUAAAAAGUUAUUAUAAUAAAAAAGAAAAAGAAAUUGGAUACAUGACACAUACAUUAAACGAUAAUAUAAAUGGAUUUGAACUGAAAGUUUUCUGGUUACUUAAAAUUAAAUCUUAAAAAAAUCUAAGAUCUUCCUUGUUUUUCCAUUAUAUAUGGAGAAUAUCUACACAGAAAAAAAGAUGUUCAAAAAAAAAAAUCAUCUGCUUGACUAGAGUUUCAAAGAGCAAAUUAACUAAGCAAAUAAUUCCUGACAAUUAUAUUUGUAAGCCCAACACAAUCAACAUUACUCAGGUGCAAAAGGGUUUCUUAUGCUAUUAUUACAUAAAAGAAAAACUAAAUAUUUUAUAACUUAUAUAACUUUAGUAUUACAGUAUGUAUAUAUUUAUUAGAAAAUACACAUAUUAAGAGCGUAUCCCAAC
This is a long non-coding RNA of Sarcophilus harrisii (Tasmanian devil), 1645 nucleotides long. The record is from Ensembl. Lineage: Eukaryota; Metazoa; Chordata; Mammalia; Dasyuromorphia; Dasyuridae.